This 386-nucleotide ribosomal RNA is filed under the name Microbacterium phyllosphaerae. RNAcentral describes it as "bacterial SSU rRNA". It matches the Rfam family "Bacterial small subunit ribosomal RNA", at positions 1067 to 1449 of the family's 1533-position model. The record is from RNAcentral. Lineage: Bacteria; Bacillati; Actinomycetota; Actinomycetes; Micrococcales; Microbacteriaceae.
ACGUAAUGUUGGGUUAAGUCCCGCAACGAGCACAACCCUCGUUCUAUGUUGCCAGCACGUAAUGGUGGGAACUCAUGGGAUACUGCCGGGGUCAACUCGGAGGAAGGUGGGGAUGACGUCAAAUCAUCAUGCCCCUUAUGUCUUGGGCUUCACGCAUGCUACAAUGGCCGGUACAAAGGGCUGCAAUACCGUGAGGUGGAGCGAAUCCCAAAAAGCCGGUCCCAGUUCGGAUUGAGGUCUGCAACUCGACCUCAUGAAGUCGGAGUCGCUAAUAAUCGCAGACAGCAACGCUGCGGUGAAUACGUUCCCGGGUCUUGUACACACCGCCCGUCAAGUCAUGCAAGUCGGUAACACCUGAAGCCGGUGGCCUAACCCUUGUGAACUAG